RNAcentral lists this ribosomal RNA (301 nucleotides) under uncultured bacterium. RNAcentral's name for it is "partial 16S ribosomal RNA". It matches the Rfam family "Bacterial small subunit ribosomal RNA", at positions 509 to 807 of the family's 1533-position model. The record is from RNAcentral.
CAGUAGCCGCGGGAAUACGGAGGGGGCUAGCGUUGUUCGGAAUUACUGGGCGUAAAGCGCACGUAGGCGGCUUUGUUAGUCAGAGGUGAAAGCCCGGGGCUCAACCCCGGAAUUGCCUUUGAGACUGCAUCGCUUGAAUCCAGGAGAGGUGAGUGGAAUUCCGAGUGUAGAGGUGAAAUUCGUAGAUAUUCGGAAGAACACCAGUGGCGAAGGCGGCUCACUGGACUGGUAUUGACGCUGAGGUGCGAAAGCGUGGGGAGCAAACAGGAUUAGAUACCCCUGUAGUCCCUGUCUCUUAUAC